RNAcentral lists this ribosomal RNA (552 nucleotides) under uncultured bacterium. Its description in RNAcentral is "bacterial SSU rRNA". It matches the Rfam family "Bacterial small subunit ribosomal RNA", at positions 865 to 1503 of the family's 1533-position model. The record is from RNAcentral.
UCGACCGCCUGGGGAGUACGGCCGCAAGGUUAAAACUCAAAUGAAUUGACGGGGGCCCGCACAAGCGGUGGAGCAUGUGGUUUAAUUCGAUGCAACGCGAAGAACCUUACCUGGUCUUGACAUCCAGGUGCUGCAUGGCUGUCGUCAGCUCGUGUUGUGAAAUGUUGGGUUAAGUCCCGCAACGAGCGCAACCCUUAUCCUUUGUUGCAACUCAAAGGAGACUGCCAGUGAUAAACUGGAGGAAGGUGGGGAUGACGUCAAGUCAUCAUGGCCCUUACGACCAGGGCUACACACGUGCUACAAUGGCGCAUACAAAGAGAAGCGACCUCGCGAGAGCAAGCGGACCUCAUAAAGUGCGUCGUAGUCCGGAUUGGAGUCUGCAACUCGACUCCAUGAAGUCGGAAUCGCUAGUAAUCGUGGAUCAGAUGCCACGGUGAAUACGUUCCCGGGCCUUGUACACACCGCCCGUCACACCAUGGGAGUGGGUUGCAAAAGAAGUAGGUUACCACUUUGUGAUUCAUGACUGGGGUGAAGUCGUAACAAGGUAACCGA